AUGAAUCAGCAUCUCCAUUCACCCACAAAGCUUACCGAAUUCGCGCGGAGUUUUGAAGAUGAAGAGACUGAAUCUAUACUGGGUCGUUUUGUCAACAAAAUACAACACGUAUACAAUCAAAGCUAUAACACAGUUAAUGAAGUAGCAAAUACUGGUGUAGAUGGCAAUGCAACUGCUCAAGUUUCAAAGUCAUAUUUUUAUGGUGACGAAAAAAUAGAUGAUAUAUCGUUAAAGAAGGCGCACUCUUCAAAUAAUACUAUUAAUUUGUACAAGAACAGUGACAACACAACAACAAAUAAAAUUACAGUAGAUGAAUCUAAAACCGAAACCGUGGAACAAGUUUUGGAUUUACCAAACGAAAUCAGUGAAGGCCGCACCAUGGUUAAUGUACUAAAACGCAUAAGUAACUUAAUGGCCACAAAAAACAGUGAUUUACAAAAUUACAAAGAUACUGAGUUACAUCGUUUUUGGAUGCCUGAUUCCAAGGCAAAAGAAUGCUAUGAUUGCACACAAAAGUUCUCCACCUUUAGGCGAAAACAUCAUUGUCGCCUUUGUGGGCAAAUAUUUUGUUCCAGAUGUUGCAAUCAAGUUGUGCCUGGAAAAAUCAUUAAGUGUGCUGGCGACCUUAAGGUUUGCAAUUAUUGCUCAAAAAUUGUACUUAGCUAUUUAAAAUCUCCAGAUAUAGCUGUGGAUUUGCAUGCAGAUUUACAAGCGUUACAACAAGAUUUAACUCAAAAACUAGAGGAGAAAAGUGAUAUUAAUAGCAUUGAAGUUUCGUCUACACGUGCAAGUUCAAUUCGUAAAAUAUCUGUUGGGUAUCAAGAAGAGCGUUUUGCUACUCAUAUAGGUAAUGGCUUAUCUAUUGAUGAUCGAAAGAACAUACUUCAGCAGUCGAAUUCUUUGAAAACAUUACACGAAGAAAUGUGUCGUCAGUUGAAUACACAGAAUUGCGGCACAUAUUUAAUUGAAUAUAUGAUUUCACAUAAGAAAUCUUCAAAUAAGAUACAAGCUAUUGCAAUAUUAAAUGCAAUGUUAGAUGCAGGGUUUCUACAACCUAUAGUCCCAGAUUCGGAUCAGAUUGAUUUCGAUGAAAAUCUGCAUUAUAAAUUUAUAGAGCUGAAUAAAAAUAAUUUUAAUAAUGCUUAUUUUAAGGACCCGGCCUCCGUCCCUGUGGUCACCACUCCACAGCUUGAUAAUAGUGAUGAACCACAGCCGCCAAAAAAAAUUGAUUCCUCUUUAAGCUUCCAUUCAAUGGGAGACAUGGAAUUCGAAUCUUCAAUGUGUUCCACUACAACUACAACAAAACUUCUGGAAUCUUACUGUGACUACGAAGAACAGUUACUAACUCAAAUGCUCCGUACCUUCCAUUUAGAUUUGCGUUGGUCGAAAGUACUCAUGUCGUUAUGCUGUCGAGCAGCCAAUCAUUUCAAACCAGAAUACAGCACCAAUGACUUAAUGGACAUACGCAAUUAUGUAAAUAUAAAGAAAAUACCGGGUGGCAAACGGCAAGAGUGUACAAUAGUGGGUGGGGUUGUUUUUUCAAAGAACAUCGCCCAUAAAGAUAUGGCUACACGUGUUGAGCAUCCGCGAAUACUGCUUUUACAAUGUCCUAUUGUUUACGAACGUAUUGAAGGAAAGUUUGUUAGUAUAGCAACAGUGUUGUUGCAGGAAAAGGAGUAUUUGCGACGCGUUUGUGAUAGAAUUAUGAGUUUUAAACCACAUGUAGUGUUGGUGCAUAAAAAUGUUGCGGGAAUAGCCCAAGAUAUGCUACGUUCACAAGGUAUUACUUUAGUUUUAGAUGUGAAGCUCUCUGUAUUGGAACGAAUAUCUCGCACACUUCAAUGUGACAUUGUGGUUUCUAUAGAGUCCAAUAUAGCUCGACCACAGCUGGGCACAUGUGAUGCUUUUUAUAUAAGAAAUUUCAGUGAUGGCAGUGGCAUUAAUAAAACGUUAAUGUUUUUUGAAAAAUUGAACAAUCCUCGUGGCUUCACAUGUUUAUUACGUGGCGGCUGUAAUAGUGAGUUAUCAAAGGUGAAAAAAGUUGCUUCGUUUUUGGUAUAUGCUCGCUAUAACUGGCGUUUGGAAAUGUCUUUCCUCUUGGAUGAAUUUGCUGAGCCCCUUACCCCAAAACCACCUAUUUUCAACUCCAAAGAACCAAGUCCAGAUGAUUUAUGCUCUGGUCAUAAAGCGCAUAAAUUACCAAUAUCGAUUGCAAAAUUUGUGGUAGAGCGAAAAGUGGAGGAAAGAGUGCAGCCACAACGCAAAGAAAUUAUCUCAGUGUCGGAGAAUGUUUCUGAUUUUACUGAUCCACUUCGUUCUGUGGAGGCCAAUGCAAAUAACAUAUCAGAAGAUCGACCUGUUGUAAAAUUAGCGGUUGAAACACGUUAUGACAAUCGCUUCCGCACUGCACUCAGCUCAACUUUACUCUCGGUCAGCCCAUUUCUUAAUUUUCCAUUACCGUAUUUAGAAACCGAACAAGGUCGAAAAUGUACUCUGCGCAAACUGUUUGCAGCUGAGUUAUUUUACUCAAAGUUAUGGUCAAACGGGAAUAGCAUACAUUUAGAUCGCAAUGAAAGUUUGGAGUAUAUUAAAAAUGGUACAGAUGAAACUCUGCUAGAACCUCCACAUCCUUUUUUAAGACUAAAAAUCACAACUCCAUGGGAAAAUCGUGAUAUACAAAAUUUGCUAGCAGAAUUUCGGGCAUAUGGUGGUCGUUAUCCAAAGAAGAAUUUGUUUAGAGUGGAGAAGAAAGUUCCUCAGAAGGUGGAUGAGGAAAACUUAUUUAAAGAUGCACUUGAUUUAGAGAACCAUCAAAGGUUGCCGGUACUAUUUUGCAGUUUCUAUUUCAAUCCGAAGUCUGCAUCCUCUUUUUGCGCACCUCCAACUUUGUUAGAUAUGAAAUUUUAUGGGCAACACGAUAUCAUGCUUGGUCAAUUCUUGCAACGCUACUGUUGUCGUUUGAAUUCGAUAUGUAAACUUUGCAAUUUGCCAAUGCUGGGGCAUGUGCGUCGUUACGUGCAUUCCAUGGGAUGUGUGCAAGUCUUCCUAAGCGAAGAUAAUAUAAAAACUGAUCCCAAUCGUAUUUAUUUUACCGCUUGGUGUACAAUUUGCAACGAGAUGACACCGAGUGUACCUCUCUCCGAUAAUUCAAAAUGUCUUUCUUUCGCAAAGUACCUGGAGCUCCGUUUUCAUGGACACUCCUAUAAAAGGCGAACGAUUAUUGGCAGGAAUUCUCCUUCAGUAAGCCCAAGCUGCGUGGAAUAUAAUCAUUGUCAGCAUUCUCUCCAUCGAGAUUAUGUGCACUAUUUCACUUAUCGAGGUGUAGGAGCCAAAUUUCAGUAUACACCUAUUGAAGUAUGGGAUAUUGGAUUACCUCCACUGAUAUUAGAUUUGAAACCACCACAGUUUGAACAUUUUAAAUAUGUGGAAGAAAUUAAAACUUUUUCCAUGAAGGGUCAUGAAGUAUAUACUUGCAUCCAUGAGCGUAUUGCUGAUCUUGCUACCGAGGAUGAUACUUUGGCUAUAGUGCUUAAUUUGAAGACAGCGUUGAACAAAGAUCAUUUUAUUUUUAAACAACAUAUUGAAAUUGUACAAGCAUUACUCACGGAACCAAAAGCCUGUAUACAUGAUAUAAAUGAUGCGCUAUGUAUGUCUAAACGCAUACUUGCCGAAAGUAUUGAUUUGUGGGGUCCAAGAGUACAUGAUAUUGCUUUGGCACAAAAGGUAGUGGCGAAACAACCAACCCAGAUGCAUCCGGAUUCUGUUGGUGCUUGUGCUGAAGAUCUACAUUCUGAAUAUUCGGAUGCGUCACCAAUAGUGUCAGAAAGACCCCGUUUGUUACAUGAUGAUACAUAUUCUCAAACAGAUGAUAACUCCGGCGAGAGAGAUAGUGACUCAACGAGCGCUUUACAUAUUGGAAUAGAAAAGAAGUCAUCAGUGGAGCAACUACUUUCGAUUUCGGCGAAUACCGACAAGAAAUCGAUUAAAAAAAUACUAACCCAGCUUUUCCUUUCUACGGGACCAUCUAAUUUACUUCAAUCACCUUUUUCAUCACAAGAACAUUACACAUUACCGUUGGGAGCAUUUCCGAUACUUGUACAUGAUCAGGACUUAAGUUCGCUUAUCGCAUACAGUCUGACGUCAAGUGACUAUCAAAAAUCAAUUUCCAAUUUAGCAAACAGUAGUUACGUUGAAAACGGUAACGGUGCUGGAUUUGGUCAACCGCCAAAUAUGGAUAGUGUUAAUAAUAUAAACCAAGGCCAUCACAGCCCAAGUUUGAAACUGAAAUUACAAGAAACUUUACAAGAAGGAGAUGAAUGUGACAAAAGAGAUGUUCUAAAUAUCAAUAAUAACACAGAAGAAGACCGUACCAAGUCAAAAACGAGUCCUUCACAUGUUGAGCUAACAUUCCAUGAUAAUGGCAAACAAUUUACAUGUAAAAUUUACUUUGCGAAACAGUUUGAUUUAAUGCGAUUAAAAACAUUAAAACCUCCAAUUGCUGAAAAUUCAUUAUAUAAACAGCUUGAACAGAAGAAAAAACGCGAAGAGCUAAAAGUAUGUCAAAGCCGCAGUGGUCCUGAGAUGGAAUUGGUACACAAACCCAGCGAUAUAUUUAACUCCACACAAACAGACGCAAACAAAUCCAAUCGAAAUGCUUCGCAAACAGAAAUUGAGAAAUGCCGUAAUUGUUUUGCUCGUUCUUUGUGCAGUAGUGUACAAUGGGAGGCGAGGGGUGGUAAAUCUGGUUCAAGAUUCUGUAAAACAUUAGAUGAUCGCUUUGUGUUGAAGGAAAUGACUAAAGGUGAUAUUAAUAUUUUUGAAAAUUUCGCACCUAAUUAUUUUGAGUAUAUCAGCAAAUGUCAGCAACAAAAUCAGCCCACUUUGUUGGCUAAAAUUUUUGGAGUGUUUAAAGUUAUCAUCAAAAAUAAAGAUUCGUUUGUGGAGAAAACAUUGCUCGUUAUGGAGAAUCUUUUUUACGAUUGUGAUAUCAAAAACAAAUUCGACUUGAAGGGUUCUGAACGUAAUCGAAUGGUGGACCCCACUGACCAACAAGGUGAAAUAGUUUUGUUGGAUGAAAAUUUGGUUCAAAACUAUUUAAAAGUGCCUGGACUAUCAGCACUCACUAUGCAAUUAAAAGUAAAUCAACCUCGACAUUGCAAUAGAACAAGACCGGCUGUGAAGAAGGUAAUCAAUAUCGUCACCGAAGCCAAGUUAAAGCCAAUUAUGAAGUGUCUUGGUCUAAACCCCUAUACAUUUUGUCACAUAGCAAAGCAGUUCUGAAAGAUGCUAUUAAUAGAGACUCCACUUUUUUAGAAAAAAAUCAAAUAAUGGAUUACUCGCUUCUCGUAGGUUUAGAUCAUGAUAGCAGUAUAUUAGUAUUGGGAAUAAUCGACUACAUACGGACAUUCACUUUCGAUAAAAAGGUUGAGUCAUUUGUAAAACAAACUGGCAUAUUAGGUGGCAUGGGCAAAUUACCAACAGUUAUAUCACCGGAACGUUAUAAGCAACGAUUUAUUGAUGCAAUGGAUCGUUAUUUUUAUACAGUACCAGAUCGUUGGGAAGGUUUGUCAAAAACUUAAUUAUAUCAGAAUAUAUAAACGAUUCAUGUUGUAUAAUUAAAAAGUAAAUUGAAAUAAAUUCAGGAUCAUAUCUGUUUGCUAAUAUAUCAAAAUAUGAACAAA
RNA transcript from Zeugodacus cucurbitae (melon fly), 5681 nucleotides. It is a transcript of the gene named putative 1-phosphatidylinositol 3-phosphate 5-kinase, with no coding region annotated. Lineage: Eukaryota; Metazoa; Arthropoda; Insecta; Diptera; Tephritidae. The transcript has 13 exons. The record is from RefSeq and is a predicted model, not a curated record.